AGUGAACGCUGGCGGUAGGCCUAACACAUGCAAGUCGAACGGCAGCACAGUAAGAGCUUGCUCUUACGGGUGGCGAGUGGCGGACGGGUGAGGAAUACAUCGGAAUCUACUUUUUCGUGGGGGAUAACGUAGGGAAACUUACGCUAAUACCGCAUACGAUCUACGGGUGAAAGCAGGGGAUCUUCGGACCUUGCGCGAUUGAAUGAGCCGAUGUCGGAUUAGCUAGUUGGCGGGGUAAAGGCCCACCAAGGCGACGAUCCGUAGCUGGUCUGAGAGGAUGAUCAGCCACACUGGAACUGAGACACGGUCCAGACUCCUACGGGAGGCAGCAGUGGGGAAUAUUGGACAAUGGGCGCAAGCCUGAUCCAGCCAUGCCGCGUGGGUGAAGAAGGCCUUCGGGUUGUAAAGCCCUUUUGUUGGGAAAGAAAAGCAGCAGGUUAAAACCCCGCUGUUCUGACGGUACCCAAAGAAUAAGCACCGGCUAACUUCGUG
Molecule: ribosomal RNA, 492 nt
Filed under: uncultured bacterium
Lineage: Bacteria
Description: partial 16S ribosomal RNA
Rfam family: Bacterial small subunit ribosomal RNA
Source: RNAcentral